RNAcentral lists this long non-coding RNA (221 nucleotides) under Hordeum vulgare. Its description in RNAcentral is "long non-coding RNA (HVUL_LNC016576)". The record is from RNAcentral. Lineage: Eukaryota; Viridiplantae; Streptophyta; Magnoliopsida; Poales; Poaceae.
AACCACCCGCCACUCCUCCAUCUUCCCCGCUCGCGUACGCCUCGAUCCGCUUUCCCCUCCUCCCGCCGGCUGGGUUCAUCCAAUCCCCUCCCGGCGCCGGUAUCGUCCGGUCUCGUCUCGCGGGGGUUCGUCUCUAUAUUCAGUUCCCCCCCUCUCCGUUUGUUUUUCUGUUCCUUCGUUGGCGACCACGCCGAGGAACUGAAAGGUAGCCAGUCGCGCCG